AAGCUCUUGAUCGAAGCCCCGGUAAACGGCGGCCGUAACUAUAACGGUCCUAAGGUAGCGAAAUUCCUUGUCGGGUAAGUUCCGACCUGCACGAAUGGCGUAACGAUGGCGGCGCUGUCUCCACCCGAGACUCAGUGAAAUUGAAAUCGCUGUGAAGAUGCAGUGUAUCCGCGGCUAGACGGAAAGACCCCGUGAACCUUUACUAUAGCUUUGCACUGGACUUUGAAUUUGCUUGUGUAGGAUAGGUGGGAGGCUUUGAAGCGUGGACGCCAGUCUGCGUGGAGCCAACCUUGAAAUACCACCCUGGCAACUUUGAGGUUCUAACUCAGGUCCGUUAUCCGGAUCGAGGACAGUGUAUGGUGGGUAGUUUGACUGGGGCGGUCUCCUCCUAAAGAGUAACGGAGGAGUACGAAGGUGCGCUCAGACCGGUCGGAAAUCGGUCGUAGAGUAUAAAGGCAAAAGCGCGCUUGACUGCGAGACAGACACGUCGAGCAGGUACGAAAGUAGGUCUUAGUGAUCCGGUGGUUCUGUAUGGAAGGGCCAUCGCUCAACGGAUAAAAGGUACUCCGGGGAUAACAGGCUGAUACCGCCCAAGAGUUCAUAUCGACGGCGGUGUUUGGCACCUCGAUGUCGGCUCAUCACAUCCUGGGGCUGAAGCCGGUCCCAAGGGUAUGGCUGUUCGCCAUUUAAAGUGGUACGCGAGCUGGGUUUAGAACGUCGUGAGACAGUUCGGUCCCUAUCUGCCGUGGACGUUUGAGAUUUGAGAGGGGCUGCUCCUAGUACGAGAGGACCGGAGUGGACGAACCUCUGGUGUUCCGGUUGUCACGCCAGUGGCAUUGCCGGGUAGCUAUGUUCGGAAAAGAUAACCGCUGAAAGCAUCUAAGCGGGAAACUUGCCUCAAGAUGAGAUCUCACUGGAACCUUGAGUUCCCUGAAGGGCCGUCGAAGACUACGACGUUGAUAGGUUGGGUGUGUAAGCGCUGUGAGGCGUUGAGCUAACCAAUACUAAUUGCCCGUGAGGCUUGACCAU
Molecule: ribosomal RNA, 1029 nt
Filed under: Pseudomonas syringae pv. actinidiae
Lineage: Bacteria; Pseudomonadati; Pseudomonadota; Gammaproteobacteria; Pseudomonadales; Pseudomonadaceae
Description: bacterial LSU rRNA
Rfam family: Bacterial large subunit ribosomal RNA
Source: RNAcentral